Molecule: ribosomal RNA, 446 nt
Filed under: uncultured bacterium
Lineage: Bacteria
Description: SSU rRNA
Rfam family: Bacterial small subunit ribosomal RNA
Source: RNAcentral
AGAGCGAACGCUGGCGGCAGGCCUAACACAUGCAAGUCGAGCGGCCGUAGCAAUACGGCAGCGGCAGACGGGAGAGUAACACGUGGGAACGCGCCCUUCGGUUCGGGAUAACUCAGGGAAACUUGGGCUAAUACCGGAUACGCCCUUACGGGGAAAGAUUUAUUGCCGAAGGAACGGCCCGCGUCCGAUUAGCUUGUUGGUGAGGUAACGGCUCACCAAGGCGACGAUCGGUAGCUGGUCUGAGAGGAUGACCAGCCUCACUGGGACUGAGACACGGCCCAGACUCCUACGGGAGGCAGCAGUGGGGAAUAUUGGACAAUGGGCGCAAGCCUGAUCCAGCCAUGCCGCGUGGGUGAUGAAGGCCCUAGGGUUGUAAAGCCCUUUCAGCGGGGAAGAUAAUGACGGUACCGCAGAAGAAGCCCGGCUAACUUCGCGCCAGCAGCCGC